RNAcentral lists this ribosomal RNA (501 nucleotides) under uncultured bacterium. RNAcentral's name for it is "partial 16S ribosomal RNA". It matches the Rfam family "Bacterial small subunit ribosomal RNA", at positions 30 to 523 of the family's 1533-position model. The record is from RNAcentral.
AUUGAACGCUGGCGGCAUGCCUUACACAUGCAAGUCGAACGGCAGCACGGGUGCUUGCACCUGGUGGCGAGUGGCGAACGGGUGAGUAAUACAUCGGAACGUACCUUAUCGUGGGGGAUAACGCAGCGAAAGCUGUGCUAAUACCGCAUACGUCCUGAGGGGGAAAGCGGGGGAUCGAAAGACCUCGCGCGAUUAGAGCGGCCGAUGCCUGAUUAGCUUGUUGGUGGGGUAAAAGCCCACCAAGGCGACGAUCAGUAGCUGGUCUGAGAGGACGAUCAGCCACGCUGGGACUGAGACACGGCCCAGACUCCUCCGGGAGGCAGCAGUGGGGAAUUUUGGACAAUGGGGGCAACCCUGAUCCAGCAAUGCCGCGUGAGUGAAGAAGGCCUUCGGGUUGUAAAGCUCUUUUGUCAGGGAAGAAACACCGGCUCUAACACAGUCCGGGAAUGACGGUACCUGAAGAAUAAGCACCGGCUAACUACGUGCCAGCCGCCGCAGUAA